GAGCCCGUGGCCAAGUCAGGAUAAGGCACCGGCCUUCUAAGCCGGAGAGCGAGGGUUCAAAUCCCCCCGGGCUCG
Molecule: non-coding RNA, 75 nt
Organism: Candidatus Bathyarchaeota archaeon RBG_16_57_9
Lineage: Archaea; Thermoproteati; Candidatus Bathyarchaeota
Source: Rfam